GACCUGAUAGCAUAAUGGUUAAUGUAUCUGCUAUACUUAGAUAGACAUUCUUCUUGUAAGCAGAAGAUCCCUGUUCAAUUCGGGGUCAGGUCA
Non-coding RNA from Mycena metata, 93 nucleotides. Lineage: Eukaryota; Fungi; Basidiomycota; Agaricomycetes; Agaricales; Mycenaceae. The record is from the annotation of a GenBank genome assembly.